RNAcentral lists this ribosomal RNA (407 nucleotides) under uncultured bacterium. RNAcentral describes it as "partial 16S ribosomal RNA". It matches the Rfam family "Bacterial small subunit ribosomal RNA", at positions 28 to 526 of the family's 1533-position model. The record is from RNAcentral.
GACGAACGCUGGCGGCGUGCUUAACACAUGCAAGUCGAGCGGAGCGGCGGACGGGUGAGUAAUGCCUAGGAAUCUGCCUGGUAGUGGGGGAUAACGUCCGGAAACGGGCGCUAAUACCGCAUACUAUCAGAUGAGCCUAGGUCGGAUGAGGUAGUUGGUGGGGUAAAGGCCUACCAAGGCGACGAUCCGUAACUGGUCUGAGAGGAUGAUCAGUCACACUGGAACUGAGACACGGUCCAGACUCCUAAGGGAGGCAGCAGUGGGGAAUAUUGGACAAUUGGCGAAAGCCUGAUCCAGCCAUGCCGCGUGUGUGAAGAAGGUCUUCGGAUUGUAAAGCACUUUAAGUUGGGAGGCGUUACCAACAGAAUAAGCACCGGCUAACUUCGUGCCAGCAGCCGCGGUAAUAC